This 527-nucleotide ribosomal RNA is filed under the name uncultured beta proteobacterium. Its description in RNAcentral is "bacterial SSU rRNA". The stretch from base 54 to 527 matches the Rfam family "Bacterial small subunit ribosomal RNA", at positions 1 to 470 of the family's 1533-position model. Lineage: Bacteria; Pseudomonadati; Pseudomonadota; Betaproteobacteria. The record is from RNAcentral.
CACGCGUUGGAGCUCUCCCAUAUGGUCGACCUGCAGGCGGCCGCGAAUUCACUAGUGAUUAGAGUUGAUCAUGGCUCAGAUUGAACGCUGGCGGAAUGCUUUACACAUGCAAGUCGAACGGCAGCACGGGAGCUUGCUCCUGGUGGCGAGUGGCGAACGGGUGAGUAAUGCGUCGGAACGUACCGAGUAAUGGGGGAUAACGCAGCGAAAGCUGUGCUAAUACCGCAUACGCCCUGAGGGGGAAAGUGGGGGAUUCGUAAGAACCUCACGUUAUUCGAGCGGCCGACGUCUGAUUAGCUAGUUGGUGGGGUAAAGGCCUACCAAGGCGACGAUCAGUAGCGGGUCUGAGAGGAUGAUCCGUCACACUGGAACUGAGACACGGUCCAGACUCCUACGGGAGGCAGCAGUGGGGAAUUUUGGACAAUGGGGGCAACCCUGAUCCAGCCAUUCCGCGUGAGUGAAGAAGGCCUUCGGGUUGUAAAGCUCUUUCAGUUGGAACGAAACGGUACGCUCUAACAUAGCGUGCU